GAGCUUUGAAAAUCAGCCUGUCUUGAGGAGAUGCUGGAAGAUAGUAUCAGAAGCUGAGAAGUGUAUCUGCUUUUCCUCCUUGCACACAGAUGUAGGGAAGAGAGAUUACAGUGACAUGAAUCAUGAGACCAAAAGAAGAAGAAGGAAAACACUUACAUGGGCUGUAAGUUUCUCUUGGGAGGCUUUUACCUCAGCCUGUAGCUUCUUGAUGCACUGGAAAGGAGAAGGGGAUACAGAGCAAUGCCUACCUCUUCAUAGUCCAAGUGUCCCACAGGAGCUGGAGAGAUGGCUCAGGGAUUAAAAGCACUGGCUGCACUUCCAGAUGGCACAGCUCAAUUCUAAGUACUCUCAUGGCAAUUCACAACUUUAUAUAAUUCCAGAGGAUCUCACACAUUCUUUUGGACUUCAAGGACACAUCUAUGUAGUGUACGGA
Mesocricetus auratus (golden hamster) is the source of this 433-nucleotide long non-coding RNA. RefSeq lists it as uncharacterized. NCBI's taxonomy places the organism in Eukaryota, Metazoa, Chordata, Mammalia, Rodentia, Cricetidae. The transcript has 3 exons. The record is from RefSeq and is a predicted model, not a curated record.